UUUCAUAUUAGUUCCUAUGCUUUGAACAUAGAGCCAAGCGGUGAGAGUGGCCAGCACCAAAAUAUUUUCUCGGCUUUGCAAUGGCUUGUUGAAGGUGACGCAUAUCAUUACGGGUGGAGGAAGCCACAGUAUUGCUUCAGGUAAAGCUCUGUCGGAGAUGUAGAAAGCAAUACGAAAUUUUCGAUUGUAUGCCAAUGGCGAGUGACGAAGCUGAUGUUAUAGCAGAAGAGACGAUGAGCAGCAGACCCAGGCCGCGUUCCAGUUGUGAGUAAAUUCCAAAAGUAUGAUCACCUGGCCGAGAAGGAUCCACAAAAUGAUGAGAGGCCUUUAGAGGGAUGAAAAGAAAGAGACCAACCAAAGAGAGACAUUCCAUGGAGGAACUAAUCAUAAGCAUCAACGAGACCAUUUGGCAAGAAGAACAUAAAGUAUGGGGUUCACAAUCCAGCCACCGUGAUGCCACGAAUCGCGUUGAUCGCUCUAGAAUUCUCGACAAAACAAUCACUCUCCAGAACCGGGUGUGGACAGCGUCAAGACGCAAGUCUCGCAGAGGCCAGCAAGAUAUAACCUUUUUAAAUUUCUACAAAAGCUCUUAGAACGAGCUCUCCCAGCUCGUUUCAUUCUAUUUUUUCCUAUCAUCCUGAAUUUUUAUCAACGGGAUAAGUCGCCACGAUCACGAGCAUACUGAAAACAUUUGGGGCCCCGCAGAUAAUCCUCGAUUCCUUGAGUGGCAAGGUCUCGUUCAAGGAGUAUGGCAAUCAAAGAUUUUUCGAGGCCCCGAGCAAGGACGAGCUCGAAUCGAUGAAGGCCGCAAGGAAGCCUUGCACCUGGAUGGAGAAAACAAAAGACAUUUUUUCUUUGGUUAGAGGCAGACCGUGUAAACAGUAUAUGAAUCACAAACAUGGUGACAAGUGACAACUUUCUCUCAAAAAGCUUGAUGAGUCUCUUUUAGCUGAUUCUCAUCAAAUAUCUGGCAGUUCCAACCCUCGCAUCUUCGUUCUCGAAGUUUUCACUCCAAAUUCCAAAAAAUUAUUUCUCUGGUGUUCACGGGGAAUUUUACUGUACAGCUCAAGCUCCUGAGCUUCCAAGUUUGUUCUAAUGAGCUUCUCGAAGAC
This 1112-nucleotide long non-coding RNA is filed under the name Selaginella moellendorffii. RNAcentral's name for it is "long non-coding RNA (SMOE_LNC001289)". The record is from RNAcentral. Lineage: Eukaryota; Viridiplantae; Streptophyta; Lycopodiopsida; Selaginellales; Selaginellaceae.